RNAcentral lists this transfer RNA (69 nucleotides) under Marmota marmota marmota (Alpine marmot). It matches the Rfam family "tRNA". From Rfam's summary of the family: Transfer RNA (tRNA) molecules are approximately 80 nucleotides in length. RNAcentral also lists the same sequence under 4 other names. The record is from Rfam by way of RNAcentral. Lineage: Eukaryota; Metazoa; Chordata; Mammalia; Rodentia; Sciuridae.
GGGGUUGUGGCUCAGAGGUAGAGUGCUCACCUAGCAUGUGUGAGGCACUGGAUUCGAUCCUCAGCACCA